AGAGAGAGACAUGCGCGCAUAUCAAUAAGCGGAGGAAAAGAAACUAACAAGGAUUCCCUUAGUAACGGCGAGUGAAGCGGGAAGAGCUCAAAUUUGAAAUCUUCAAGGUUCUACCUUGACGAAUUGUAGUUUAUAGAAGUGUUUUCUGUUAGUGGAGUGGCAAAAGUUCUUUGGAAUAGGACAUCAUAGAGGGUGAGAAUCCCGUAUUUGGUCAUUCCUCCUAGCGUUGUGAUACACUUUCAACGAGUCGGAUUGUUUGGGAAUGCAGUCCAAAAUGGGUGGUAAAUUUCAUCUAAAGCUAAAUAUUGGCGAGAGACCAAUAGCGAACAAGUACCGUGAGGGAAAGAUGAAAAGAACUUUGAAAAGAGAGUUAAACAGUACGUGAAAUUGUCAAAAGGGAAGCGUUUGACACCAGUGUUGUUUUUCCGAAAAUCAAUUACGAAUGUUUUAUUUUUGAGGAGUUAUGACUUCAUCGGCUUGCUCCUUUCUUUACGAAACUUUCUUAAUGCACUUUUCGGUUAACAAGUCAACAUCAAUUUCUUUUGUUGUAAAAGGGUAUGAGGAAGGUGGCUUUCUUUUCGGAGAAAGUGUUUAUAGCCUUGUGCCUCUGCAAUCGGAGAGAUUGAGGUCUGCAGCGUAGAUCCUUCGGGGUUAGAUACGUUUGUGCUAAGUUAUAGCUUUUCAUAGACAACUUGUUGACUAUGUUUAGUCUUGUAGCUUACUCGCUGACGCUAUUUUACCUACGCUUAGGAUGUUGAUAGUCACAGCGUGUAC
Molecule: ribosomal RNA, 774 nt
Filed under: uncultured Neocallimastigales
Lineage: Eukaryota; Fungi; Neocallimastigomycota; Neocallimastigomycetes; Neocallimastigales
Description: partial large subunit ribosomal RNA
Rfam family: Eukaryotic large subunit ribosomal RNA
Source: RNAcentral